AGUGGCGAACGGGUGAGUAAUACAUCGGAACGUGCCCAGUCGUAGGGGAUAACUACGCGAAAGCGUAGCUAAUCCCGCAUACGAUCUACGGAUGAAACCGGGGGAUCGCAAGACCUCGCGCGAUUGGAGCGGCCGAUGGCAGAUUAGGUAGUUGGUGGGGUAAAGGCUCACCAAGCCGACGAUCUGUAGCUGGUCUGAGAGGACGACCAGCCACACUGGGACUGAGACACGGCCCAGACUCCUACGGGAGGCAGCAGUGGGGAAUUUUGGACAAUGGGCGCAAGCCUGAUCCAGCCAUUCCGCGUGCAGGAUGAAGGCCCUCGGGUUGUAAACUGCUUUUGUACGGAACGAAACGCGCCGGGCUAAUACCUUGGCGUAAUGACGGUACCGUAAGAAUAAGCACCGGCUAACUACGUGCCAGCAGCCGCGGUAAUACGUAGGGUGCAAGCGUUAAUCGGAAUUACUGGGCGUAAAGCGUGCGCAGGCGGUGAUGUAAGACAGAUGUGAAAUCCCCGGGCUCAACCUGGGAACUGCAUUUGUGACUGCAUCGCUGGAGUGCGGCAGAGGGGGAUGGAAUUCCGCGUGUAGCAGUGAAAUGCGUAGAUAUGCGGAGGACACCGAUGGCGAAGGCAAUCCCCUGGGCCUGCACUGACGCUCAUGCA
Molecule: ribosomal RNA, 662 nt
Filed under: uncultured beta proteobacterium
Lineage: Bacteria; Pseudomonadati; Pseudomonadota; Betaproteobacteria
Description: bacterial SSU rRNA
Rfam family: Bacterial small subunit ribosomal RNA
Source: RNAcentral